RNAcentral lists this ribosomal RNA (424 nucleotides) under Verrucomicrobiota bacterium. RNAcentral's name for it is "Verrucomicrobia bacterium partial 16S ribosomal RNA". It matches the Rfam family "Bacterial small subunit ribosomal RNA", at positions 355 to 776 of the family's 1533-position model. The record is from RNAcentral. Lineage: Bacteria; Pseudomonadati; Verrucomicrobiota.
UGAGGAAUAUUGGUCAAUGGGCGAGAGCCUGAACCAGCCAAGUAGCGUGCAGGAUGACGGCCCUAUGGGUUGUAAACUGCUUUUAUAUGGGAAUAAAGUGAGGGACGUGUCCCUUAUUGCAUGUACCAUACGAAUAAGGACCGGCUAAUUCCGUGCCAGCAGCCGCGGUAAUACGGAAGGUCCAGGCGUUAUCCGGAUUUAUUGGGUUUAAAGGGAGCGUAGGCUGUUUGUUAAGCGUGUUGUGAAAUGUAAGAGCACAACUUUUCGAUUGCAGCGCGAACUGGCAGACUUGAGUGCGCACAACGUAGGCGGAAUUCAUGGUGUAGCGAUGAAAUGCUUAGAUAUCAUGACGAACUCCGAUGGCGAAGGCAGCUUACGGGAGCGCAACUGACGCUAAAGCUCGAAGGUGCGGGUAUCGAACAGG